Molecule: long non-coding RNA, 528 nt
Filed under: Phoenix dactylifera (date palm)
Lineage: Eukaryota; Viridiplantae; Streptophyta; Magnoliopsida; Arecales; Arecaceae
Description: long non-coding RNA (PDAC_LNC022421)
Source: RNAcentral
AUGAUUCUAUUGUAUUUGUUAAUGAGAUUAAAAAUAUUUAGAAUCAUAUCUUGCAUGAUCAGCAACUCAUAAGAUGACAUAAUCUGUUAAAUAUUCAGAUAUGUAAAUUUUAUUUAAUGCAUGAGAUGCGUAUGGUGAUGAUCAUGGAUGGACCCUUUAAUUAUGCUGAAAUGUUCUGCAAUGUCUGAGAUGUUCUGUGAUGUUAUGUGAUGCAUGUAAAUCAGAUUUUUAGAUGCCUGCGUGCAUCUUAUAUUGAUGUAUUAGAGACCUGCGUGUCUCAUGAAAAAAGAUUGUAACUAUUAUUUAAUUUUAUUUAUUUUUAAAGUUAUCUGGGAUGUAAUCUGUGAUGUGUUUGCAUGUCAAUGGUUGAUCGGUGCGUGCCUCUACAAGCACGAUUUGCGCGGAUCGAGAUCAAGGGUUGAUUGGAGAUGGAUCAAGGAGUUGAUCGCAAUUGGACCAAGGGUGCUCAAGAUCGAGUCAAGAGUUGAAGACAAUCUAACCAAUUGACGUGCAUGUGCUUGUACUAUG